GUAGCUCAGUUGGCAGAGCAUCCGACUGUUAAUCGGACGGUCGCUGGUUCAAGCC
Molecule: transfer RNA, 55 nt
Filed under: Bifidobacterium longum
Lineage: Bacteria; Bacillati; Actinomycetota; Actinomycetes; Bifidobacteriales; Bifidobacteriaceae
Description: tRNA-Asn
Rfam family: tRNA
About the family: Transfer RNA (tRNA) molecules are approximately 80 nucleotides in length. Their secondary structure includes four short double-helical elements and three loops (D, anti-codon, and T loops).
Source: RNAcentral